GAUGGAUGACCAGCUUAUAUUGUAUCUGGGGUGGAGACAGAAUACACAUCCCCAUGUCCUGAGCAAAGGACCAUCGAGUGUAGCGUUCACUUCUCUUCCUAGGAUGGGGGGCUCUGGGGACAAGCACACCCAUGUGGGGGAAUCCAGCAAGGACUUCAGGACAAUGAGCCAGAAAGACAAGAGUGGCUGUCACUACACUGGUGACCUCUAAGGAGGCUCCCAGUCACAGCAAGGGAGAAGGUAAACGUCACAGGGGACAGGUUCCAGAACUGAAAGCACGUCUGAACUAGGAGGGUGGUGGGGCAUACAGCUGCGUUCAGCUGUGGUCCCAGCUGAGGUUCCUCCCACUACAGAUGCUGUGGCCUCUGAGACCAUGGAGGCAGCCUCGUGCUUUCUCAGGGAAAACACCCAUCUACACAGGGACUGGCACGAAAGCAGCUGGCAGGGAAAGCUGUAGAAGCAGCACCUGCCCACAUCUGCCUGGAGUGAUGGAGGUGGCAAGGCCAGGGGCCACAAGCAGGGGCUCUGCAGGUAAUCAACUGCCUUUCACUCCUUGGCUGAUCUUCCCCUGGCUGUGUGAUCUUGAGUGAGUUCCUUUUCUUCUCUGAGCCUUCAUUUUCUUAUUUGUGAAAUGGGUGAGUGUGUGUGUGUGUGUGUGUGUGUGUGUGUGUGUGUGUGUGUGUGUGUAUGUGUGUGUAGGGGGGCUGCAAGGGGAGAAUGGAUGAGAGAUAAAAAGUUCAUCUCCUAGAUGGCUCUGUCACUGCAGCACCAAUGGUUAUGGACUCUAUGCUUGACCAUGAUAUUGGUUAAAAUGGCAGUGGCUGGAACACAUUAUCUCAAAGCCCCUCUCCUGGCUGGAUGGGGUGCAACAUGGAAACUCAGAAAUACCAGAAAUUAAACCUCACUGGUCUUGG
This 914-nucleotide long non-coding RNA is filed under the name Fukomys damarensis (Damara mole-rat). RNAcentral describes it as "lncRNA (ENSFDAG00000033549.1)". The record is from RNAcentral. Lineage: Eukaryota; Metazoa; Chordata; Mammalia; Rodentia; Bathyergidae.